This 486-nucleotide long non-coding RNA is filed under the name Parasteatoda tepidariorum (common house spider). Its description in RNAcentral is "uncharacterized LOC122270394". Lineage: Eukaryota; Metazoa; Arthropoda; Arachnida; Araneae; Theridiidae. The record is from RNAcentral.
AUUCGUUAAAUUCAACCAUCAACUCAACCCCAACUUCAACUCCGAAGACAACCCCGUCCGAAAAUAUAGGUGUGCUAUACUCAUCCGAGUUGGAACAACUGCUGUUCAACUCUUUCACAUCUCUUCGAAAGUGUUGAAGCAACUUCACAAUUCAACCAAUCAGGUGGCAGCAACCGAAUGGGGUUAUGGGAUAGCACAAGUCAAAACAAUAUGGCGGCAAAGUUUAUCUGACGAAGCAGGAUAUCUAAUUUGUUAUAUAUUAAUUCUGCAAAGAUGAGUAAAAAUUUUGAGCAAGCUCCCGUUGGGGAAACUUUUAAAUGGAGCAUCGAAAUGGAGAGCACAUUUAUUGAACUCUGGAAGAAAAAAGAGAACAUUUGGAAUGUAACAUCCCGCCACCACCACAGGAAAUAUCAUUUAAGAGCUCAUAAAAAAUUAAUCGAAACUGCUUUUAUAUUUCUUUUGGAAUAAAUUGUUCAUAUUUAUCAA